Molecule: ribosomal RNA, 236 nt
Filed under: uncultured bacterium
Lineage: Bacteria
Description: partial 16S ribosomal RNA
Rfam family: Bacterial small subunit ribosomal RNA
Source: RNAcentral
CGGACGGGUGAGUAACGCGUAAAGAACUGCCCCCUAGACUGGGACAACUGUUGGAAACGACAGCUAAUACCGGAUAUUAUGGAACUGCGGCAUCGCAGAACUAUGAAAGGCUAUAUGCGCUAGAGGAGAGCUUUGCGUCCCAUUAGUUAGUUGGUAGGGUAAUGGCCUACCAAGACGAUGAUGGGUAGCCGGCCUGAGAGGGUGAUCGGCCACAAGGGGACUGAGACACGGCCCUU